CGAGAAGAUCGGCCUGUUGACCCCUUUACAGGGGUAGGAAAGUCCGGACACCACAGAGCAGCAAAGCGGAUAACAUCCGUCACCCGUGAGGGUAGGACAAGUGCAACAGAAAGCAGGUACAGUUCGGCUGUAGUGAAACCAGGUAAACUCUUUGCGGUGCAAUGGUAAGUAUAUCGGUUCUUUCCGGCAAUGGAAAUAGGAGUGGCUCGCUCCGAAAGCCGAGGGGUAAUCAGCUCAAGUUUUGCAGCAAUGUAAGACGCAGAUAAAUAACAGGCACUUCCCAGGAAGUACAGAAUCCGGCUUACAGAUUUUCUCGUGGU
Molecule: RNase P RNA, 320 nt
Filed under: Chryseobacterium camelliae
Lineage: Bacteria; Pseudomonadati; Bacteroidota; Flavobacteriia; Flavobacteriales; Weeksellaceae
Description: RNase P class A
Rfam family: Bacterial RNase P class A
About the family: Ribonuclease P (RNase P) is a ubiquitous endoribonuclease, found in archaea, bacteria and eukarya as well as chloroplasts and mitochondria. Its best characterised activity is the generation of mature 5'-ends of tRNAs by cleaving the 5'-leader elements of precursor-tRNAs.
Source: RNAcentral